GGGCCGUUAGUAUAGUGGUAAUACACACCCUUCGCAUGGGUGAGACAUCGGUUCGAUUCCGAUACGGUCCA
Candidatus Woesebacteria bacterium is the source of this 71-nucleotide non-coding RNA. Lineage: Bacteria; Candidatus Woeseibacteriota. The record is from Rfam.